This 479-nucleotide ribosomal RNA is filed under the name uncultured bacterium. RNAcentral describes it as "partial 16S ribosomal RNA". It matches the Rfam family "Bacterial small subunit ribosomal RNA", at positions 29 to 506 of the family's 1533-position model. The record is from RNAcentral.
AUGAACGCUGGCGGCGUGCUUAACACAUGCAAGUCGAACGAAGCAUUUGCGACAGAUUUUUUCGGAAUGAAGUUGCUUAUGACUGAGUGGCGGACGGGUGAGUAACGCGUGGGUAACCUGCCUUGUACUGGGGGAUAGCAGCUGGAAACGGCUGGUAAUACCGCAUAAGCGCACAAUGUUGCAUGACAUGGUGUGAAAAACUCCGGUGGUAUAAGAUGGACCCGCGUCUGAUUAGCUAGUUGGUGAGAUAACAGCCCACCAAGGCGACGAUCAGUAGCCGACCUGAGAGGGUGACCGGCCACAUUGGGACUGAGACACGGCCCAGACUCCUACGGGAGGCAGCAGUGGGGAAUAUUGCACAAUGGAGGAAACUCUGAUGCAGCGACGCCGCGUGAGUGAAGAAGUAAUUCGUUAUGUAAAGCUCUAUCAGCAGGGAAGAUAGUGACGGUACCUGACUAAGAAGCUCCGGCUAAAUACGU